Molecule: long non-coding RNA, 1007 nt
Filed under: Monodelphis domestica (gray short-tailed opossum)
Lineage: Eukaryota; Metazoa; Chordata; Mammalia; Didelphimorphia; Didelphidae
Description: lncRNA (ENSMODG00000037331.1)
Source: RNAcentral
AUGCCAACCUCAGGCUCCACCUUCAAGAGAGCCUCCUUUCAAGAAAUGUUCCAGAGAAUUCUCCUCCUGACUCCUCCUGAGUUCUCUUUCCACAGCCUCCUUCAAGACCUCUCCAGGAGCUCUCCCUCCAGCACGCCAACCUCAGGCUCCACCUUCAAGAGAGCCUCCUUUCAAGAAAUGUUCCAGAGAAUUCUCCUCCUGACUCCUCCUGAGUUCUCUUUCCACAGCCUCCUUCAAGACCUCUCCAGGAGCUCUCCCUCCAGCACCUCUCUCCUCUCAGACUCCUUCAGAGCAAAACCUCUCAGAGCAAAAAACUCUCCUCCCCCUGUCCUCAGACCCCACUAUCUUUAAGGAAACCAUCUAAGUUCCCUCCCCUCAGUUCUCACAUCUACCAAUCACUGUCGAUGUCUCCCCUGUGCCAAUGGUGGCUCUAGUUUAACCCAGGACCGCCCAGAGGUCUGUGGCUUUGCACAUGUCUGUUGAAGGUCAUAUUCUCAAAUAAUUAAAUCUUGAUCUAUGCUGCAGCCCUUCCUAAAUCCUGUUACUCUAAGUAGGGUGGAGAGUGUAUUUUCCAAGACCUGGUUCUGUCAUUCCAAGUAUCUCUAUUGUAUCAAUUCUAAAAUCAAUCAUGACUCAAAGAACUUCCUGUUCUAUGCUUAAGCAUAGGUCAAAGCCCUUUCCAUUGUUUAGCAAAAGGUUUCUGUCCUAAAGUAGUCUUAAGUAGGGAGGAGAAGGAUCCUCCCAUGCCAAGGGGUUUCACAUUCCAAUAGAGUUCUUACUAUCAGUAGGAAAUUUUUUCCAAGUUUGAAAUUUCCCAAUGGUGAAAUUUCCAACAUUCAUAAGUCUAAGAAAUUUUAUGGUUUACAGAUAAAAUGAUGCAAAGUAAAGUGAGCAGAACCAGGAGAAUGUUGUAUUCACAACAAUGUGAAUGACUUAACAUACUAACAUGGUAAGGAUCCAGGACAACUCCAAGAGACUCAGGACAUAAAAUAAAAAAUUUAAAAAAA